CACGUAGGGUGCGAGCGUUGUCCGGAUUUAUUGGGCGUAAAGAGCUCGUAGGCGGCUCGUCGCGUCGACCGUGAAAACCCGCGGCUUAACUGCGGGCUUGCGGUUGAUACGGGCGGGCUAGUGUUCGGUAGGGGAGACUGGAAUUCCUGGUGUAGCGGUGAAAUGCGCAGAUAUCAGGAGGAACACCGGUGGCGAAGGCGGGUCUCUGGGCCGAUACUGACGCUGAGGAGCGAAAGCGUGGGGAGCGAACAGG
This 253-nucleotide ribosomal RNA is filed under the name uncultured bacterium. RNAcentral describes it as "partial 16S ribosomal RNA". It matches the Rfam family "Bacterial small subunit ribosomal RNA", at positions 524 to 776 of the family's 1533-position model. The record is from RNAcentral.